CCUACGGGCGUCAGCAGUGAGGAAUAUUGGUCAAUGGACGAGAGUCUGAACCAGCCAAGUAGCGUGAAGGAUGACUGCCCUAUGGGUUGUAAACUUCUUUUAUAUGGGAAUAAAACGUUCCACGUGUGGGAUUUUGUAUGUACCAUAUGAAUAAGGAUCGGCUAACUCCGUGCCAGCAGCCGCGGUAAUACGGAGGAUCCGAGCGUUAUCCGGAUUUAUUGGGUUUAAAGGGAGCCUAGGCCGAUUGUUAAGUCAGUUGUGAAAGUUUGCGGCUCAACCAUAAAAUUGCAGUUGAAACUGGCAGUCUUGAGUACAGUAGAGGUGGGCGGAAUUCGUGGUGUAGCGGUGAAAUGCUUAGAUAUCACGAAGAACUCCGAUUGCGAAGGCAGUUCACUGGACUGCAACUGACACUGAGGCUCGAAAGUGUGGGUAUCAAACAGGAUUAGAUACCCCUGUAGUC
This 460-nucleotide ribosomal RNA is filed under the name uncultured bacterium. RNAcentral describes it as "partial 16S ribosomal RNA". It matches the Rfam family "Bacterial small subunit ribosomal RNA", at positions 338 to 795 of the family's 1533-position model. The record is from RNAcentral.